GGCGUCUCAUGGGCAGUUAGAACAUAAGAACAAAUUUGCUUGUGUCUCGAUGAAAGAACUUGAAAAGACCUUGAAUAGAAUAAAUUAGGACAUAGACUUGGGUGUGUCUCAGUGAAGGUUAAAGAUCUUAAUUCCACGUUGACAGCGAGGAGGUUGUGUCACCCUCCUUUGACUUCUACAAUGUGGUCUCUGAGUCCACCUCUACGUGCUCCGUGAUAAGGGCAUCACGCAUUAACAGAUUUAUGAGUACAGUUCAAUAGAAAAGGGC
Molecule: long non-coding RNA, 268 nt
Filed under: Hordeum vulgare
Lineage: Eukaryota; Viridiplantae; Streptophyta; Magnoliopsida; Poales; Poaceae
Description: long non-coding RNA (HVUL_LNC009512)
Source: RNAcentral